CCUACGGGAGGCAGCAGUGAGGAAUAUUGGUCAAUGGACGCAAGUCUGAACCAGCCAAGUAGCGUGCAGGAUGACGGCCCUCUGGGUUGUAAACUGCUUUUAGUUGGGAAUAAAAAAGAGGACGUGUCCUCUAUUGUAUGUACCUUCAGAAAAAGGACCGGCUAAUUCCGUGCCAGCAGCCGCGGUAAUACGGAAGGUCCAGGCGUUAUCCGGAUUUAUUGGGUUUAAAGGGAGCGCAGGCGGAUUAUUAAGUCAGUGGUGAAAGACGGUGGCUCAACCAUCGUUAGCCAUUGAAACUGGUAGUCUUGAGUGCAGACAGGGAUGCUGGAACUCGUGGUGUAGCGGUGAAAUGCUUAGAUAUCACGAUGAACUCCGAUCGCGAAGGCAGGUGUCCGGGCUGUAACUGACGCUGAGGCUCGAAAGUGUGGGUAUCAAACAGGAUUAGAUACCCUUGUAGUC
Molecule: ribosomal RNA, 459 nt
Filed under: uncultured Prevotella sp.
Lineage: Bacteria; Pseudomonadati; Bacteroidota; Bacteroidia; Bacteroidales; Prevotellaceae
Description: bacterial SSU rRNA
Rfam family: Bacterial small subunit ribosomal RNA
Source: RNAcentral